CAGAUUAAGCCAUGCAUGUCUAAGCAUAAGCUUAAAAAAAGUGAAGCCGCGAAUAGCUCAUUACAACAGCCGUUGUUUAUUAGAUCUUAUAUCCUACUUGGAUAACUGUGGUAAUUCUAGAGCUAAUACAUGCAACAAAACCCAGACCUCACGGAAUGGGUGCACUUAUUAGACUAAAACCAAUCGGGCUCCGGCUCGUCCAAUGGUGAAUCUGAAUAACUACGCUGAUCGCAUGGUCUUUGUACCAGCGAUAGAUCUUUCAAAUGUCUGUCCUAUCAACUUUCGAUGGUAGUUUACACGCCUACCAUGGUUGUAACGGGUAACGGAGAAUUUGGGUUCGACUCCGGAGAGGGAGCCUGAGAAACGGCUACCACAUCCAAGGAG
This 384-nucleotide ribosomal RNA is filed under the name Acantholaimus sp. K4. RNAcentral describes it as "bacterial SSU rRNA". It matches the Rfam family "Eukaryotic small subunit ribosomal RNA", at positions 41 to 423 of the family's 1831-position model. The record is from RNAcentral. Lineage: Eukaryota; Metazoa; Nematoda; Chromadorea; Chromadorida; Chromadoridae.